AACGCUAGCGGCAAGCUUAACACAUGCAAGUCGAACGGUAACUCUUAGUGCUUGCACUAAAAGACGAGUGGCGGACGGGUGCGUAACGCGUAUGCAAUCUACCUUUUACUAGGGAAUAGCCCAGAGAAAUUUGGAUUAAUCCCCUAUAAUAUCAAAAAUUCGCAUGAUUUUUUGAUUAAAGUUUCGACGGUAAAAGAUGAGCAUGCGUCCUAUUAGUUUGUAGGUGAGGUAAUGGCUCACCUAGACUACGAUAGGUAGGGGCCCUGAGAGGGGGAUCCCCCACACUGGUACUGAGACACGGACCAGACUCCUACGGGAGGCAGCAGUGAGGAAUAUUGGACAAUGGACGAAAGUCUGAUCCAGCUAUGCCGCGUGCAGGAUGACAGCCCUACGGGUUGUAAACUGCUUUUAUACAGGAAGAAAAACUCCGACGUGUCGGGGCUUGACGGUACUGUAAGAAUAAGGAUCGGCUAACUCCGUGCC
This 483-nucleotide ribosomal RNA is filed under the name uncultured Bacteroidota bacterium. RNAcentral's name for it is "bacterial SSU rRNA". It matches the Rfam family "Bacterial small subunit ribosomal RNA", at positions 32 to 509 of the family's 1533-position model. Lineage: Bacteria; Pseudomonadati; Bacteroidota. The record is from RNAcentral.